Molecule: ribosomal RNA, 109 nt
Filed under: Thermoanaerobacterium sp. CMT5567-10
Lineage: Bacteria; Bacillati; Bacillota; Clostridia; Thermoanaerobacterales; Thermoanaerobacteraceae
Source: RNAcentral
UCCGGUGGCAAUAGCGGAAGUUAAAAACCCGUUCCCAUACCGAACACGGAAGUGAAGCCCUCCAGCGCCGAUGGUACUGAUUACUCGGGAGAGUAGGUCGCUGCCGGAU